UUUGACUGCCAUAGCGUUGUGGCCCCACCUGAUCCCAUGCCGAACUCAGAAGUGAAACGCACCCGCGCCGAUGAUAGUGUGGCAGCUGCCAUGUGAAAGUAGGUCACAGUCAAAC
This 115-nucleotide ribosomal RNA is filed under the name Zobellella denitrificans. The record is from RNAcentral. Lineage: Bacteria; Pseudomonadati; Pseudomonadota; Gammaproteobacteria; Aeromonadales; Aeromonadaceae.